CCUACGGGACGCAGCAGUGAGGAAUAUUGGUCAAUGGGCGCGAGCCUGAACCAGCCCAGUAGCGUGAAGGAUGACUGCCCUACGGGUUGUAAACUUCUUUUAUAAAGGAAUAAAGUGAGGCACGUGUGCCUUUUUGUAUGUACUUUAUGAAUAAGGAUCGGCUAACUCCGUGCCAGCAGCCGCGGUAAUACGGAGGAUCCGAGCGUUAUCCGGAUUUAUUGGGUUUAAAGGGAGCGUAGAUGGGUUGUUAAGUCAGUUGUGAAAGUUUGCGGCUCAACCGUAAAAUUGCAAUUGAUACUGGCAGUCUUGAGUACCUUUGAGGUAGUCGACAUUCGUGUUGUAGCGGUCACAUGCUU
RNAcentral lists this ribosomal RNA (356 nucleotides) under uncultured bacterium. RNAcentral describes it as "partial 16S ribosomal RNA". It matches the Rfam family "Bacterial small subunit ribosomal RNA", at positions 338 to 691 of the family's 1533-position model. The record is from RNAcentral.